GGUUAAGUUAGAAAGGGCGCACGGUGGAUGCCUUGGCACUAGGAGCCGAUGAAGGACGGGACGAACACCGAUAUGCUUCGGGGAGCUGUAAGCAAGCUUUGAUCCGGAGAUUUCCGAAUGGGGAAACCCACCACUCGUAAUGGAGUGGUAUCCAUAUCUGAAUACAUAGGAUAUGAGAAGGCAGACCCGGGGAACUGAAACAUCUAAGUACCCGGAGGAAGAGAAAGCAAAUGCGAUUCCCUGAGUAGCGGCGAGCGAAACGGGACCAGCCCAAACCAAGAGGCUUGCCUCUUGGGGUUGUAGGACACUCUGUACGGAGUUACAAAGGAACGAGGUAGAUGAAGAGGUCUGGAAAGGCCCGCCAUAGAAGGUAACAGCCCUGUAGUCAAAACUUCGUUCUCUCCUGAGUGGAUCCUGAGUACGGCGGAACACGUGAAAUUCCGUCGGAAUCCGGGAGGACCAUCUCCCAAGGCUAAAUACUCCCUAGUGACCGAUAGUGAACCAGUACCGUGAGGGAAAGGUGAAAAGCACCCCGGAAGGGGAGUGAAAGAGAUCCUGAAACCGUGUGCCUACAAGUAGUCAGAGCCCGUUAAUGGGUGAUGGCGUGCCUUUUGUAGAAUGAACCGGCGAGUUACGAUCCCGUGCAAGGUUAAGCAGAAGAUGCGGAGCCGCAGCGAAAGCGAGUCUGAAUAGGGCGAAUUGAGUACGUGGUCGUAGACCCGAAACCAGGUGAUCUACCCAUGUCCAGGGUGAAGUUCAGGUAACACUGAAUGGAGGCCCGAACCCACGCACGUUGAAAAGUGCGGGGAUGAGGUGUGGGUAGGGGUGAAAUGCCAAUCGAACCUGGAGAUAGCUGGUUCUCUCCGAAAUAGCUUUAGGGCUAGCCUCAAGGUAAGAGUCUCGGAGGUAGAGCACUGAUUGGACUAGGGGCCCCUACCGGGUUACCGAAUUCAGUCAAACUCCGAAUGCCGAUGACUUAUCCUUGGGAGUCAGACUGCGAGUGAUAAGAUCCGUAGUCGAAAGGGAAACAGCCCAGACCGCCAGCUAAGGUCCCAAAGUAUACGUUAAGUGGAAAAGGAUGUGGAGUUGCUUAGACAACCAGGAUGUUGGCUUAGAAGCAGCCACCAUUUAAAGAGUGCGUAAUAGCUCACUGGUCGAGUGACUCUGCGCCGAAAAUGUACCGGGGCUAAACGUAUCACCGAAGCUGCGGACUGUUCUUCGAACAGUGGUAGGAGAGCGUUCUAAGGGCUGUGAAGCAAGACCGGAAGGACUUGUGGAGCGCUUAGAAGUGAGAAUGCCGGUAUGAGUAGCGAAAGAGGGGUGAGAAUCCCCUCCACCGAAUGCCUAAGGUUUCCUGAGGAAGGCUCGUCCGCUCAGGGUUAGUCGGGACCUAAGCCGAGGCCGAAAGGCGUAGGCGAUGGAUAACAGGUUGAUAUUCCUGUACCACCUCCUCACCAUUUGAGCAAUGGGGGGACGCAGGAGGAUAGGGUAAGCGCGGUAUUGGAUAUCCGCGUCCAAGCAGUUAGGCUGGGAAAUAGGCAAAUCCGUUUCCCGUGAAGGCUGAGCUGUGAUGGCGAGCGAAUUAUAGUAGCGAAGUUCCUGAUUCCACACUGCCAAGAAAAGCCUCUAGCGAGGUGAGAGGUGCCCGUACCGCAAACCGACACAGGUAGGCGAGGAGAGAAUCCUAAGGUGAUCGAGAGAACUCUCGUUAAGGAACUCGGCAAAAUGACCCCGUAACUUCGGGAGAAGGGGUGCUCUGUUAGGGUGCAAGCCCGAGAGAGCCGCAGUGAAUAGGCCCAGGCGACUGUUUAGCAAAAACACAGGUCUCUGCGAAGCCGUAAGGCGAAGUAUAGGGGCUGACGCCUGCCCGGUGCUGGAAGGUUAAGAGGAGCGCUUAGCGUAAGCGAAGGUGCGAAUUGAAGCCCCAGUAAACGGCGGCCGUAACUAUAACGGUCCUAAGGUAGCGAAAUUCCUUGUCGGGUAAGUUCCGACCCGCACGAAAGGCGCAACGAUCUGGGCACUGUCUCAACGAGAGACUCGGUGAAAUUAUAGUACCUGUGAAGAUGCAGGUUACCCGCGACAGGACGGAAAGACCCCGUGGAGCUUUACUGCAGCCUGAUAUUGAAUGUUGGUACAGCUUGUACAGGAUAGGUAGGAGCCUUGGAAACCGGAGCGCCAGCUUCGGUGGAGGCAUCGGUGGGAUACUACCCUGGCUGUAUUGACCUUCUAACCCGCCGCCCUUAUCGGGCGGGGAGACAGUGUCAGGUGGGCAGUUUGACUGGGGCGGUCGCCUCCUAAAAGGUAACGGAGGCGCCCAAAGGUUCCCUCAGAAUGGUUGGAAAUCAUUCGCAGAGUGUAAAGGCACAAGGGAGCUUGACUGCGAGACCUACAAGUCGAGCAGGGACGAAAGUCGGGCUUAGUGAUCCGGUGGUUCCGCAUGGAAGGGCCAUCGCUCAACGGAUAAAAGCUACCCCGGGGAUAACAGGCUUAUCUCCCCCAAGAGUCCACAUCGACGGGGAGGUUUGGCACCUCGAUGUCGGCUCAUCGCAUCCUGGGGCUGUAGUCGGUCCCAAGGGUUGGGCUGUUCGCCCAUUAAAGCGGUACGCGAGCUGGGUUCAGAACGUCGUGAGACAGUUCGGUCCCUAUCCGUCGCGGGCGCAGGAAAUUUGAGAGGAGCUGUCCUUAGUACGAGAGGACCGGGAUGGACGCACCGCUGGUGUACCAGUUGUUCUGCCAAGGGCAUCGCUGGGUAGCUAUGUGCGGACGGGAUAAGUGCUGAAAGCAUCUAAGCAUGAAGCCCCCCUCAAGAUGAGAUUUCCCAUUCCGCAAGGAAGUAAGAUCCCUGAAAGAUGAUCAGGUUGAUAGGUCUGAGGUGGAAGUGUGGCGACACAUGGAGCUGACAGAUACUAAUCGAUCGAGGACUUAACCAA
Molecule: ribosomal RNA, 2930 nt
Filed under: Bacillus velezensis
Lineage: Bacteria; Bacillati; Bacillota; Bacilli; Caryophanales; Bacillaceae
Description: 23S ribosomal RNA
Rfam family: Bacterial large subunit ribosomal RNA
Source: RNAcentral